UGGGGAAUAUUGCACAAUGGGCGCAAGCCUGAUGCAGCGACGCCGCGUGAGGGAUGACGGCCUUCGGGUUGUAAACCUCUUUCAGCUCCGACGAAGCGCAAGUGACGGUAGGAGCAGAAGAAGCACCGGCCAACUACGUGCCAGCAGCCGCGGUAAUACGUAGGGUGCAAGCGUUGUCCGGAAUUACUGGGCGUAAAGAGCUCGUAGGCGGUUUGUCGCGUCGUCUGUGAAAUUCUGCAGCUUAACUGCAGGCGUGCAGGCGAUACGGGCAGACUUGAGUACGACAGGGGAGACUGGAAUUCCUGGUGUAGCGGUGAAAUGCGCAGAUAUCAGGAGGAACACCGGUGGCGAAGGCGGGUCUCUGGGUAGUAACUGACGCUGAGGAGCGAAAGCGUGGGUAGCGAACAGG
RNAcentral lists this ribosomal RNA (409 nucleotides) under Actinomycetes bacterium. RNAcentral's name for it is "Actinobacteria bacterium partial 16S ribosomal RNA". It matches the Rfam family "Bacterial small subunit ribosomal RNA", at positions 355 to 776 of the family's 1533-position model. Lineage: Bacteria; Bacillati; Actinomycetota; Actinomycetes. The record is from RNAcentral.